This 396-nucleotide ribosomal RNA is filed under the name uncultured soil bacterium. RNAcentral describes it as "bacterial SSU rRNA". It matches the Rfam family "Bacterial small subunit ribosomal RNA", at positions 26 to 411 of the family's 1533-position model. The record is from RNAcentral.
AGAGUGAACGCUGGCGGCGUGCUUAACACAUGCAAGUCGAGCGAUUUUCAGCAGCUUAUCGCUGAGAGUAGCGGCAGACGGGUGAGUAAUACUUAGGCAAUCUGCCCUUGAGAGGAAACAACCUGCUGAAAAGUGGGCUAAUGUUCCAUAUGACCACGGAGUCGCAUGAUUCUGAGGUAAAAGCUCCGCAAGGGGCGCUCGAGGAGGAGCCUGAGGCCUAUCAUGGUAGUUGGCGGGGUAAUGGCCCACAAGCCUACGACGGGUAGCCGGCCUGAAAGGGUGAGUCGGCCACACUGGCAGUGAGACACGGGCCAGACUCCGUACGGGAGCAGCGAGGUGGGAAUUUGGACGAAGUGGGGGCAACCCGUGACUCCGAGCGACGCCGGCGUAGAAGGA